RNAcentral lists this ribosomal RNA (513 nucleotides) under uncultured bacterium. RNAcentral describes it as "partial 16S ribosomal RNA". It matches the Rfam family "Bacterial small subunit ribosomal RNA", at positions 30 to 523 of the family's 1533-position model. The record is from RNAcentral.
AUUGAACGCUGGCGGCAUGCCUAACACAUGCAAGUCGAACGGCAGCACAGUAAAGAUUUCGGUCUUUAUGGGUGGCGAGUGGCGGACGGGUGAGUAAUGCGUAGGAAUCUGUCCUGGAGAGUGGGAUAACCCGAGGAAACUCGGGCUAAUACUUCAUGAUAUCGAGAGAUCAAAGGCAGGGGACCCUUCGGGGCCUUGCGCUCUAGGAUGAGACUACGUCGGAUUAGCUAGUUGGUGGGGUAAAGGCCUACCAAGGCGACUAUCCGUAGCUGGUCUGAGAGGAUGACCAGCCACACUGGGACUGAGACACGGCCCAGACUCCUACGGGAGGCAGCAGUGGGGAAUCUUGGACAAUGGGGGAAACCCUGAUCCAGCGAUGCCGCGUGUGUGAAGAAGGCCUUCGGGUUGUAAAGCACUUUAGUUGGGGAAGAAAAGUAAUGAGUGAAUAACUGAUUGCUCUGACGGUACCCAAAGAAUAAGCACCGGCUAACUCUGUGCCAGCAGCCGCAGUAA